CGGCACGGGUGAGUAACACGUAUCCAACCUGCCGUCUACUCUUGGCCAGCCUUCUGAAAGGAAGAUUAAUCCAGGAUGGCAUCAUGAGUUCACAUGUCCGCAUGAUUAAAGGUAUUUUCCGGUAGACGAUGGGGAUGCGUUCCAUUAGAUAGUAGGCGGGGUAACGGCCCACCUAGUCAACGAUGGAUGGGGGUUCUGAGAGGAAGGUCCCCCACAUUGGAACUGAGACACGGUCCAA
RNAcentral lists this ribosomal RNA (238 nucleotides) under uncultured bacterium. RNAcentral describes it as "partial 16S ribosomal RNA". It matches the Rfam family "Bacterial small subunit ribosomal RNA", at positions 100 to 334 of the family's 1533-position model. The record is from RNAcentral.